Molecule: ribozyme, 313 nt
Organism: Pygocentrus nattereri (red-bellied piranha)
Lineage: Eukaryota; Metazoa; Chordata; Actinopteri; Characiformes; Serrasalmidae
Rfam family: Nuclear RNase P
About the family: Ribonuclease P (RNase P) is a ubiquitous endoribonuclease, found in archaea, bacteria and eukarya as well as chloroplasts and mitochondria. Its best characterised activity is the generation of mature 5'-ends of tRNAs by cleaving the 5'-leader elements of precursor-tRNAs. Cellular RNase Ps are ribonucleoproteins.
Source: Ensembl
AGUGGGAGGAAGCUCACUACAGAGGUCACACACUGAGUGUUAAUCACUCACUCACCAUGAACCUUGGGGAAGGUCUGAGACAAGAGCCAAUUGCUGUCCUUGCAGGGCAUCACCUGGCGCAGGUGAGUGAGUACCCAGAGACGUUGGGCCUCAGUGGGAUGUCUUCAUAAGAGAAGUCAGUUAGUGUGAUUAGCCAGCACAGCUGAUGGAUAUGACACCACUGGCUUGGAAAUGCUCAUGGCUGGCAGCAGAGUUCAAUGUGUGAGCUGGAGUUCAGCUCCAGAACCCAAUUCAGACUACUCUCCUUCACACU